This 645-nucleotide unclassified non-coding RNA is filed under the name Hevea brasiliensis (rubber tree). Lineage: Eukaryota; Viridiplantae; Streptophyta; Magnoliopsida; Malpighiales; Euphorbiaceae. The record is from RNAcentral.
GGAGGUUGCAAUAUUAACAGUGUUGCUAUUUCCUCAAGACUCAAGCUUGAAGUAAAAAACUAACUAGUUGUAUUAACUGAGGGGAAAAACAGAAAGGCAAUAUCAAAACAAGGGGAAUAGCAACCUUGUGUGACAUAACUAUACAUCAAGGAUUUGGCAGCUAACCAGCUCUGCAGAUCCACCGCUUCUCAAAGCAACAACUCUCCACAUAUUUGCUUCAGAUCCUAAAACCGGCUCUGGAACUUCGUGUAGGUUUUUUUGUAAAGAGUUUGCUGAGGUUGAUGGAGAAGGAGCUGAAUGAUUUUGCUUAUCAGCCUGCAUGACCAUGAUAUUGUGAUUUGCAUCUUUAGUGAUCACAUGGAGCUUUCCAAGAAAACCAGCAAGAAGAUAAGGAGACUCUGAAUUGUCAUUAAUAGGUAUAUCUCCUUCAAUCACCUUCCAGGUGUCAUUUUGAUGAUCAUAAACUUUUAUUCUAGCACUAUCUAGCGUACUAGAGGGAUCCAGUGCAUACAACUCUCCUUCAACAGUGACACUCAACUUUGUUCCUGCCUGCCUAGCAGGCCAGCCAUCUCCCAUGCCAAGUGGCAUUUCAAUCCAUGCAUUUGUUUCGGGAUCGUAAACCUCUCCUCCAACAUCAACAAAAAA